GUGGCAGCAGCCGCGGUAAUACGGAGGGUGCAAGCAUUAAUCGGAUUUAUUGGGCGUAAAGGGCGUGUAGGCGGAAGUGUAAGUCAGAUGUGAAAGACCGGAGCUCAACUUCGGGACCGCAUUUGAAACUGCAUUUCUAGAGGAUAGGAAGGGGAAACGGAAUUCCAUGUGUAGCGGUGAAAUGCGUAGAUAUAUGGAAGAACACCCGUGGCGAAGGCGGUUUCCUAGCUUAUUCCUGACGCUGAGGCGCGAAAGCAGGGGGAGCAAACAGGAUUAGAUACCCUGGUAGUCCCUGCCGUAAACGAUGUACACUAGAUGUAGUUGGAAUCAACCCCGACUGUGUCGUAGCUAACGCAUUAAGUGUACCGCCUGGGGAGUACGCCCGCAAGGGUGAAACUCAAAAGAAUUGACGGGGGCCCGCACAAGCAGUGGAGCAUGUGGUUUAAUUCGAUGCAACGCGAAGAACCUUACCCAGACUUGACAUGCUUCGGACCGCUCCAGAGAUGGAGUUUCUCUUACGAGCCGGAGCACAGGUGCUGCAUGGCUGUCGUCAGCUCGUGCCGUGAGGUGUUGGGUUAAGUCCCGCAACGAGCGCAACCCUUAUCGUUAGUUGCCAACACGUAAUGGUGGGAACUCUAACGAGACUGCCUGGGUUAACCAGGAGGAAGGUGAGGAUGACGUCAAGUCAGCAUGGCCCUUAUGUCUGGGGCUACACACGUGCUACAAUGGCCGGUACAAUGGGCAGCUAAGCCGCGAGGUGGAGCAAAUCCCUUAAAGCCGGUCUCAGUUCGGAUUGUAGUCUGCAACUCGACUACAUGAAGUCGGAAUUGCUAGUAAUGGCGUGUCAGCAACAACGCCGUGAAUACGUUCCCGGGCC
This 877-nucleotide ribosomal RNA is filed under the name uncultured bacterium. Its description in RNAcentral is "bacterial SSU rRNA". It matches the Rfam family "Bacterial small subunit ribosomal RNA", at positions 505 to 1380 of the family's 1533-position model. The record is from RNAcentral.